GAUGAACGCUAGCUACAGGCUUAACACAUGCAAGUCGAGGGGCAGCAUCAUCAAAACUUGCUUUGAUGGAUGGCGACCGGCGCACGGGUGAGUAACACGUAUCCAACCUGCCGACAACACUGGGAUAGCCUUUCGAAAGAAAGAUUAAUACCGGAUGGCAUAGUUUCCCCGCAUGGGAUAAUUAUUAAAGAAUUUCGGUUGUCGAUGGGGAUGCGUUCCAUUAGGCAGUUGGCGGGGUAACGGCCCACCAAACCGACGAUGGAUAGGGGUUCUGAGAGGAAGGUCCCCCACAUUGGAACUGAGACACGGUCCAAACUCCUACGGGAGGCAGCAGUGAGGAAUAUUGGUCAAUGGACGAGAGUCUGAACCAGCCAAGUAGCGUGAAGGAUGACUGCCCUAUGGGUUGUAAACUUCUUUUAUACGGGAAUAAAGUUAGCCACGUGUGGCUUUUUGUAUGUACCGUAUGAAUAAGGAUCGGCUAACUCCGUGCCAGCAGCCGCGGUAAUACGGAGGAUCCGAGCGUUAUCCGGAUUUAUUGGGUUUAAAGGGAGCGUAGGCGGGUUGUUAAGUCAGUCGUGAAAGUUUGCGGCUCAACCGUAAAAUUGCAGUUGAUACUGGCGACCUUGAGUGCAACAGAGGUAGGCGGAAUUCGUGGUGUAGCGGUGAAAUGCUUAGAUAUCACGAAGAACUCCGAUUGCGAAGGCAGCUUACUGGAUUGUAACUGACGCUGAUGCUCGAAAGUGUGGGUAUCAAACAGGAUUAGAUACCCUGGUAGUCCACACAGUAAACGAUGAAUACUCGCUGUUGGCGAUAUACUGUCAGCGGCCAAGCGAAAGCAUUAAGUAUUCCACCUGGGGAGUACGCCGGCAACGGUGAAACUCAAAGGAAUUGACGGGGGCCCGCACAAGCGGAGGAACAUGUGGUUUAAUUCGAUGAUACGCGAGGAACCUUACCCGGGCUUAAAUUGCAACUGACGGAACCGGAAACGGUUCUUUCUUCGGACAGUUGUGAAGGUGCUGCAUGGUUGUCGUCAGCUCGUGCCGUGAGGUGUCGGCUUAAGUGCCAUAACGGGCGCAACCCUUAUCGAUAGUUACUAGCAGGUCAUGCUGAGGACUCUAUUGAGACUGCCGUCGUAAGAUGUGAGGAAGGUGGGGAUGACGUCAAAUCAGCACGGCCCUUACGUCCGGGGCUACACACGUGUUACAAUGGGGGGUACAGAAGGCAGCUACACGGCGACGUGGUGCUAAUCCCGAAAGCCUCUCUCAGUUCGGAUUGGAGUCUGCAACCCGACUCCAUGAAGCUGGAUUCGCUAGUAAUCGCGCAUCAGCCACGGCGCGGUGAAUACGUUCCCGGGCCUUGUACACACCGCCCGUCAAGCCAUGAAAGCCGGGGGUACCUGAAGUACGUAACCGCGAGGAGCGUCCUAGGGUAAAACUGGUGAUUGGGGCU
RNAcentral lists this ribosomal RNA (1449 nucleotides) under uncultured bacterium. Its description in RNAcentral is "bacterial SSU rRNA". It matches the Rfam family "Bacterial small subunit ribosomal RNA". The record is from RNAcentral.